RNAcentral lists this ribosomal RNA (546 nucleotides) under Triticum aestivum (bread wheat). RNAcentral's name for it is "partial small subunit ribosomal RNA". Lineage: Eukaryota; Viridiplantae; Streptophyta; Magnoliopsida; Poales; Poaceae. The record is from RNAcentral.
AAUCUAUGCAAGAUUUGUCUGGCUUCGCAGGAGAACCUAUUGCAUGCACUCUUGGAGUGCUCACAUGCGAGACAGUUCUGGGAAGAGGCGCAGCAACUCUUCGACUUCAAGCUACCGCGGCUCCAUCCUGUGACCUGGGCCGAAGACAUCAUUUGUGAUGACCGCUUUGCUUCCAGGGACCGAGCAGUGACCGUUUCGGUCAUGUGGUCCAUUUGGCACUCGAGGAACAGAUUGACACAUGGUGAGGAUCAGCUCGAUCCGGCAAGCUCUGUACGACGCACUCGGGAGGCGUUAUCUCUUCUUGAGGUGCCGCGGCAACUAGCACUGAUCAUGCCUGGGCAUGGGUGGCGGCCGCCCGACGAGGGUUUCAUCACCAUCAACACUGAUGCGGCAAUCAAACGAGAAGAUGGCAAAGGAGGAGCAGGGGCGUUGCCCGAUCCUCUUGCUCAUUUCUGGGUGCAUGGAGCAAGCCAUACCCCAGAGUUACGGAUCCCUUCAUUGCAGAGGCGAUGGCAGUGCGCGACGAAGUUAUCUUCGCAUGUCUGA